Molecule: ribosomal RNA, 255 nt
Filed under: uncultured bacterium
Lineage: Bacteria
Description: partial 16S ribosomal RNA
Rfam family: Bacterial small subunit ribosomal RNA
Source: RNAcentral
UACAGAGGUCUCAAGCGUUUGUUCGGAUUCAUUGGGCGUAAAGGGUGCGUAGGCGGCGCGGUAAGUCGGGUGUGAAAUCUCGGAGCUUAACUGGUGGCUUUGCUUUCGAUACGGGCAGACUGGAGGUAUGCAGGGGAGAACGAAAUUCCUGGUGUAGCGGUGAAAUGCGCAGAUAUCAGGAGGAACACCGGUGGCGAAGGCGGUUCUCUGGGCAUGUCCUGACGCUGAGGAGCGAAAGUGUGGGGAGCGAACAGG